ACUGUUUAAAGUGGUCAACAUAAUACAUGGAGUUACAUCCAGAAAAAAAUGCUUGCCAGAUGUUCAUGAGAGAUGUGACUUUGUCUUUCCUUAUUUUUAAGCCUGUCCAGUUCGUGUGAAGAAGAGAAUAUGAAAAGAGGAGGACAAAAAGAGAGUUCUGAGUGGGACCGUGGAGCCCAGGAGGAAGAGGAUGCGACAAAGAGGAAGUCGAGCAAAAUGAAAACCAUGAAUCAGCUAGAGUCAAGUCCUGCAUGCAGGAUAUACCUGACCCUAAUCACACAAAUGUGCCUGUUGACAAGGGGCUGGAAAUGCUGGAAAGUGUCUGCAUCAUGUGCCUGAGCCACCUGGGAACUGCUUGGGAGGUGCUACAUUUCUUCUGCAAGGAGUGGGAAGUAGCCCUUCAAAUGAGGAAGGUCUCUGAUGGAUCAGCUUUGGCACCUGGAACAACUUUUCUAGAAGGAACUUGCUAUGCGAGCUAGCUGCAAACACUCGGGAAAAUCUUUUCACAAGCAGGUUAUGAGAGAGAGCACAAGCAGGGGGAACGGCAGGCAGAGGGAGAAGAAGAAGCCGGCUCCUCGCUAAACAGGGAGCCCGACACGGGGCUCGAUCCCAGGACCCCAGGAUCAUGACCUGAGCCAAAGGCAGACGCUCAUCUCUUUGUUAUUUUUAAUGCACAUAUGUUUAUUAUAUGUAUUUUAUAAAUUAAAAUCUUACUGCAUAUAUAAGAGCAUUUCCUGCAGCAUUCAAAAUUCUUUUAAAAAAACAGUUUUUCAUGCAUAGUAUUAUGUUCUGUGGACUCAUUCUAAUUUGUUUAAGCAUUCUUUAUUAUUGCAAUGUCACUUGUUUCUGAUUUUUUGUCAUUAAAAACAAUGUGUUGGUGAACAUCCUGGCUGCUAGAGGAGAUAAUUUGUAUGUAUUUGAUGUAUGCAUUUGUAUUUGAUGCACAGCACAUGGUAUGUGCUUAAUAAAUAGUAUCUGGUAUGAAUAUUUGUCUAAACCCCCAAUAACUUCCUUAGAAUAAACUGUUUAAUCAGUUUUAACAUUUAGUUCUGAUGCACACUGUCAAAUUGCUUUCCAGAAAGAUGUCCCAGGUGCUCUUACUAAUGAUGGUGCUAUAGGUACCCAUCUCACAGGCUCCACAUUGUUUUCUUUAAAACGAAGCAUUGUUAAUUUGACAGGUGAAAAACAGCAGUUCAUUGUUAUGUUCUUUAUUACCACUGAGGCUAAAAAUUCUCGCAUAAUUAUCAAUCAUCGGUAACACGAUGUGGGGAGCAUUUGAGUCAGGGCCUGGCAGAAUAAAUCGUUUCAAAUGAAUGAAUUAUCAAAGGUGGGCCAUGCUGUGGGUAUGAGUAGAAUUACCUGGGCUGCAUGUGAAGGCCUGCAGUUGUUGAACUGUUGCUUAUAUAAACAGGGAUUUAUUCUGAGUCUUUCCUUGCUCAAUUGAAAGUACUUUAAUGGACAGGAUUCUGUGGUAGAAGGGAGGUUUGGAAGUGUCUAUCAGGGUGAUUGUACCGAGAAGCAGGUGCUGGGCUUUGGAGCUGACCAACCAACCAGUGAGAAACCGAUCAGGAAAAGGAGCCACUGGUAAGCAACCAGGGGGCUGGGGCUGCGAGUGGUGCCCAUACUCCUCUGGUCUCCCUGCUCACAGCCCAAGCACACGCUUAUGACAAUGGGGUGUAUUUGGGCUCUGCAGACAAUUCUGCUCUCGGGGAGAAGGCAGGGAUGUGGGCUGGAGCUUUCCCAUCUGACUGCAUCAUGGUUUGAUUCAGCCACUGGACAGGGUGAACGGGGUUUUAACCCUUGCCAACCUCCCAUGUUUCCUUCCUCCCGGUUGGGCUGAGACCCCCUCCUCCUUCCUUCCCUCUGUGUCCUUCAC
Mirounga angustirostris (Northern elephant seal) is the source of this 1876-nucleotide long non-coding RNA. RefSeq lists it as uncharacterized. The transcript has 4 exons. The record is from RefSeq and is a predicted model, not a curated record. Lineage: Eukaryota; Metazoa; Chordata; Mammalia; Carnivora; Phocidae.